RNAcentral lists this transfer RNA (69 nucleotides) under Marmota monax (woodchuck). RNAcentral describes it as "tRNA.Met". The record is from RNAcentral. Lineage: Eukaryota; Metazoa; Chordata; Mammalia; Rodentia; Sciuridae.
GGGGCAUAGCUCAGUUGGUAAAGUGCUUGCCUCAUGUGCACAAGGCCCUGGGUUUGAUUCCCAGCACCA